RNAcentral lists this ribosomal RNA (450 nucleotides) under uncultured bacterium. RNAcentral's name for it is "bacterial SSU rRNA". It matches the Rfam family "Bacterial small subunit ribosomal RNA", at positions 35 to 507 of the family's 1533-position model. The record is from RNAcentral.
UUGACUGCAGCCGGCCGCAAUACAUAGUGAUCGAUCUAGUCUUCACACAUGCAAACGCACGUCAGCAAUGUCAUGUCGACGGGUGAUAACACGUAGGAUCUAUCCCAGGAUGCGGACUACAGCGGGAGACUGUUGCUCAUACCGCAUGAUACCUGAGGGUCACAGGCGCAAGUAGCCUUGGGAGGAUCUCGCUUCUGAUUAGCUUGUUGAUGAGGUAAAGGCUCACCAAGAUGAUGAUCAGUAGAUGCUAUGAGAGGAUGAUCAGCCACAUUGGGAGUGAGACACGCCCCUAACUCAUACGUGGAGUCAGCAGUGGGUGAAUAUUGGACAAUGGGCGAAAGCCUGAUCCAGCAAUGCCGAUUGUGUGAAGAAGGUGUUCGGAUUAUAAAGCACUUAUGCCAGGGACGAUGAUGACGGUACCUGCAGAAUAAGACCCCGGCUAACUUCGAG